RNAcentral lists this ribosomal RNA (513 nucleotides) under Sandracottus dejeanii. RNAcentral describes it as "partial 16S ribosomal RNA". The stretch from base 387 to 513 matches the Rfam family "Bacterial large subunit ribosomal RNA", at positions 2473 to 2600 of the family's 2925-position model. The record is from RNAcentral. Lineage: Eukaryota; Metazoa; Arthropoda; Insecta; Coleoptera; Dytiscidae.
GUCUUAUUGAAUAUAAUUUUAAGUCUAACCUGCCCACUGAAAAUUUUGAAUGGCCGCAGUAAUUUGACUGUGCAAAGGUAGCAUAAUCAUUAGUUUUUUAAUUAAAAGCUUGUAUGAAGGGUUGGACGAGGUAAAAUCUGUCUCUAUUUAAUUUAAAAUAGAAUUUAAUUUUUAAGUUAAAAAGCUUAAAUAAAUAUAAAAGACGAGAAGACCCUAUAGAUCUUUAUAUAAUUUAUAUUAAUUUUAAUAAAGAAUAAUUAAUUUAUUAUUAUAAAUUAUAUUUUAUUGGGGUAAUAGAAAGAUUAAUAAAAUUCUUUUUUAAUUUAUACAUAAAUUUAUGAAUAAAUGAUCCAAUUAUAUUGAUUAAAAGAUUAAGUUACCUUAGGGAUAACAGCGUAAUUUUUUCAGAGAGUUCAUAUCGAUGAAAAAGUUUGCGACCUCGAUGUUGGAUUAAAAAUUAUUUUAAAUGCAAAAGUUUAAAAUUUUGGUCUGUUCGACCAUUAAAUUUUUACA